ACGGUCCUAAGGUAGCGAAAUUCCUUGUCGGGUAAGUUCCGACCCGCACGAAAGGUGUAACGAUUUGGGCACUGUCUCAACGAGGGACCCGGUGAAAUUGAAAUACCUGUGAAGAUGCAGGUUACCCGCGACUGGACAGAAAGACCCCAUGGAGCUUCACUGCAGCUUGAGAUUGAAUCUCGGUGAUGCAUGCACAGGAUAGGUGGGAGACUUUGAAGUAUGGGCUUUGGCUUAUACUGAGUCGAUGUUGGGAUACCACCCUUGUAUUGCUGAGAUUCUAACACGGAGGCUAACAACCUCGUGGACCAUCUCAGGUAGGCGGUUUGACUGGGGCGGUCGCCUCCGAAAGAGUAACGGAGGCGCCCAAAGGUUCCCUCAGGUCGGACAGAAACCGACCGAAGAGUGCAAAGGCAGAAGGGAGCUUGACUGCGAGACAGACAAGUCGAGCAGAGACGAAAGUCGGGCUUAGUGAUCCGGUGGUACUGUGUGGAAAGGCCAUCGCUCAACGGAUAAAAGCUACCCUGGGGAUAACAGGCUAAUCUCUCCCAAGAGUUCAUAUCGACGGGGAGGUUUGGCACCUCGAUGUCGGCUCAUCACAUCCUGGAGCUGGAGUAGGUUCCAAGGGUUGGGCUGUUCGCCCAUUAAAGUGGUACGCGAGCUGGGUUCAAAACGUCGUGAGACAGUUUGGUUCAUAUCCAUCGCGGGCGCAAGAAGUUUGAGGGAGGCUGCUCCUAGUACGAGAGGACCGGAGUGGACGGAUCAACGGUGUACCAGUUGUCACGCCAGUGGCACGGCUGGAAAGCCGCAUCCGGAAAGGAUAAACGCUGAAAGCAUCUAAGCGUGAAACCAGCCUUAAGAUGAGAUCUCUCAUAGAGCAAUCUAGUAAGACACCUUAAAGAAGAUGAGGUUGAUAGGUCGGGAGUGUAAGUACAGCAAUGUAUUGAGCGGACCGAUACUAAUAUGUCGAGGGCUUGACUUA
Molecule: ribosomal RNA, 979 nt
Filed under: human gut metagenome
Description: bacterial LSU rRNA
Rfam family: Bacterial large subunit ribosomal RNA
Source: RNAcentral